Long non-coding RNA from Clupea harengus (Atlantic herring), 1049 nucleotides. The record is from Ensembl. NCBI's taxonomy places the organism in Eukaryota, Metazoa, Chordata, Actinopteri, Clupeiformes, Clupeidae.
AAAUGACAUGUAACUAGAAACAAUUAAUAGCCGUCUUCAGGGUGAUACUGAAAUAAUGAGAUGAUCAUCAACGUGAACAGAAUAACAUGAAAAUAUGCUUUAAUAAUAUUCCAUUACAAAUUUUGACACACUAUAGCUUGAGCUUGAGCUUGAGAAAAAACAAUCAAAAUACCAAGUGAUAAAAAAUUGUGAAAUUGAAAUCUACCGUUAACACUCAUCUAGCAUGUGGGCAAGGAAGUUACUGAUCAAGAUAAAUCGCCAGUUUUGAACCAUGCAAUACACAAACUACAGAGAAGAAAUGUUCUAUAACGAAUAACGUAUUUGGGCAGCGUAAUGCGCACGGGCUGCACUUUUUCCACAUAAUCAAAUCGUCGUUGAAAGGCAAUGUAUCUUGCUUCCAGGAGAUAAAAAAGAGUAAAUUCAGCCUUUGUGCAUUCAGACAUUUAACACGUUUAAACAACGGUACUGCAUACUGCAGUGCUCGCGGCGGGGCACCAACAGGUUCGUCUUCUCGCGCCGGGCUGUGCGACCCAACAGGCGCGAAAAAACGCCUUUAUUCAUUCAGUGAAUCUGAAGUGCGCUCAUAUAACAAUUUGACAGCGGUUGAAACAUGGAUCACAUCAUCAUGCAUUAACGAAGCAAAGGUAGCUCUCGAGGUAACUCCAAGGACUUACCAUAACGCGCGGCAACCCUGUCACUUCUUCCCCGGACCCGGUUGCCUCUCAAAUGAAGCCCCAGCGGUGUGAAUGCGAAUGGGAUUGCAAGAACCCACGGCGAUGCUCCUGUGCGGUGGGCUCGUUCUGUUCCUCUAGAUGAUGACCACAAACUGAGUCACUGCCCUCCUCUCCUCUCCUCUCCGUUUCUUCCCGCACGCAGCCUGCCAACUUUCCCGCUGCUCUCUCGCCUCCUUCGGUGCAGAGGUGAAGUUUCCGUGUCUCCUAAAAUGACUCUCUGCGCUUUCUCUCAGGCUUAGAGGAUCAUCUGUCAUCUCUCCAGAUGAUUGGAUUAGUGCGUCAUGCACAGCACAUAUCCGUGUACUACUGUAGCCC